CAUUAUCAGCGAAACUGCGAAUGGCUCAUUAUAUAAGUUAUCGUUUAUUUGAUAGUACCUUACUACUUGGAUAACCGUGGUAAUUCUAGAGCUAAUACAUGCUAAAAAUCCCGACUUCGGAAGGGAUGUAUUUAUUAGAUUAAAAACCAAUGCCCUUCGGGGCUCACUGGUGAUUCAUGAUAACUCCUCGAAUCGCAUGGCCUUGUGCCGGCGAUGGUUCAUUCAAAUUUCUUCCCUAUCAACUUUCGAUGUUUGGGUAUUGGCCAAACAUGGUUGCAACGGGUAACGGAGGGUUAGGGCUCGACCCCGGAGAAGGAGCCUGAGAAACGGCUACUACAUCCAAGGAAGGCAGCAGGCGCGCAAAUUACCCAAUCCCGACACGGGGAGGUAGUGACAAUAAAUACUGAUACAGGGCUCUUUUGGGUCUUGUAAUUGGAAUGAGUACAAUUUAAAUCCCUUAACGAGGAACAAUUGGAGGGCAAGUCUGGUGCCAGCAGCCGCGGUAAUUCCAGCUCCAAUAGCGUAUAUUAAAGUUGUUGUGGUUAAAAAGCUCGUAGUUGAACCUUGGGCCUGGCUGGCCGGUCCGCCUCACCGCGUGUACUGGUCCGGCCGGGCCUUUCCCUCUGUGGAACCCCAUGCCCUUCACUGGGUGUGGCGGGGAAACAGGACUUUUACUGUGAAAAAAUUAGAGUGCUCCAGGCAGGCCUAUGCUCGAAUACAUUAGCAUGGAAUAAUAGAAUAGGACGUGUGGUUCUAUUUUGUUGGUUUCUAGGACCGCCGUAAUGAUUAAUAGGGACAGUCGGGGGCAUCAGUAUUCAAUUGUCAGAGGUGAAAUUCUUGGAUUUAUUGAAGACUAACUACUGCGAAAGCAUUUGCCAAGGAUGUUUUCAUUAAUCAGGAACGAAAGUUAGGGGAUCGAAGACGAUCAGAUACCGUCGUAGUCUUAACCAUAAACUAUGCCGACUAGGGAUCGGACGGUGUUAUUUUUUGACCCGUUCGGCACCUUACGAGAAAUCCAAAGUGCCU
RNAcentral lists this ribosomal RNA (1026 nucleotides) under Fusarium fujikuroi. RNAcentral's name for it is "SSU rRNA". It matches the Rfam family "Eukaryotic small subunit ribosomal RNA", at positions 73 to 1108 of the family's 1831-position model. The record is from RNAcentral. Lineage: Eukaryota; Fungi; Ascomycota; Sordariomycetes; Hypocreales; Nectriaceae.